RNAcentral lists this non-coding RNA (29 nucleotides) under Homo sapiens (human). The record is from RNAcentral. Lineage: Eukaryota; Metazoa; Chordata; Mammalia; Primates; Hominidae.
UCUGGGAAUGUGAAGCCUGGAGCAGGAGU